RNAcentral lists this ribosomal RNA (253 nucleotides) under uncultured bacterium. RNAcentral's name for it is "partial 16S ribosomal RNA". It matches the Rfam family "Bacterial small subunit ribosomal RNA", at positions 524 to 776 of the family's 1533-position model. The record is from RNAcentral.
UACGUAGGGACCAAGCGUUGUUCGGAUUUACUGGGCGUAAAGGGCGCGUAGGCGGCUUAACAAGUCACUUGUGAAAUCUCCGGGCUUAACUCGGAACGGCCAAGUGAAACUGUCAAGCUAGAGUGCAGAAGGGGCAAUCGGAAUUCUUGGUGUAGCGGUGAAAUGCGUAGAUAUCAAGACGAACACCUGAGGUGAAGACGGGUUGCUGGGCUGACACUGACGCUGAGGCGCGAAAGCCAGGGGAGCAAACGGG